CAGUCGCCACGGUAAUACGAAGGGGGCUAGCGUUGCUCGGAAUUACUGGGCGUAAAGCGCACGUAGGCGGAUAUUUAAGUCAGGGGUGAAAUCCCAGAGCUCAACUCUGGAACUGCCUUUGAUACUGGGUAUCUUGAGUAUGGAAGAGGUUAGUGGAAUUGCGAGUGUAGAGGUGAGAUUCGUAGAUAUUCGCAGGAACACCAGUGGCGAAGGCGGCUAACUGGUCCAUAACUGACGCUGAGGUGCGAAAGCGUGGGGAGCAAACAGGAUUAGAUACCCCAGUAGUCCCUGUCUCUUAUAC
RNAcentral lists this ribosomal RNA (301 nucleotides) under uncultured bacterium. Its description in RNAcentral is "partial 16S ribosomal RNA". It matches the Rfam family "Bacterial small subunit ribosomal RNA", at positions 509 to 807 of the family's 1533-position model. The record is from RNAcentral.